This is a non-coding RNA of Ceratotherium simum simum (southern white rhinoceros), 321 nucleotides long. The record is from RefSeq and is a predicted model, not a curated record. NCBI's taxonomy places the organism in Eukaryota, Metazoa, Chordata, Mammalia, Perissodactyla, Rhinocerotidae.
GGGCCGGCCCCCAGAAGGAGGUUUCUUGACUGAGUGACUGGAAGACUGAGGGUUUGGAGGUUAAAUGGGGCAGUCAGAACUGGAAGUAGGGGAAAUAACAUGGGGAGACAGCCUGAGGGCACAUGGUUUCUGCCCCUCAGGAGAGUGUAUGGCAGAGACUAGGUAGCCCCAUAGCCAUUAUAGUACAAUGCAAUCCUUUUAAUACAGGACAUUUCAUUUUUCCCUCAAAACAGCUUUAUGAGUUGAGAGUUAUUUUUUAAGAGCAUCUUAUUGAGAUAUGAUUUACAUAAAUAUAAUACACCUACUUAAAGUGUACAGUUC